Molecule: ribosomal RNA, 888 nt
Filed under: uncultured bacterium
Lineage: Bacteria
Description: bacterial SSU rRNA
Rfam family: Bacterial small subunit ribosomal RNA
Source: RNAcentral
UAGAGUUUGAUCCUGGCUCAGGAUGAACGCUGGCGGCGUGCCUAAUACAUGCAAGUCGAACGAAUCUCUUUUAGAGAUGAGUGGCGAACGGGUGAGUAAUACAUAGGUAACCUGCCCCUGUGCGGGGGAUAACAGGAGGAAACUCCUGCUAAUACCGCAUAGCCAUGAGCACCGCAUGGAGCUCAUGCCAAAUAUCCUUUCGGGGAUAGCGCAGGGAUGGACCUAUGGCGCAUUAGCUGGUUGGCGGGGCAACGGCCCACCAAGGCAACGAUGCGUAGCCGGCCUGAGAGGGCGGACGGCCACAUUGGGACUGAGACACGGCCCAGACUCCUACGGGAGGCAGCAGUAGGGAAUUUUCGGCAAUGGGGGAAACCCUGACCGAGCAACGCCGCGUGAGCGAAGAAGGCCUUCGGGUCGUAAAGCUCUGUUGUAAAGGAAGAACGGCGCAUACAGGAAAUGGUAUGCGAGUGACGGUACUUUACCAGAAAGCCACGGCUAACUACGUGCCAGCAGCCGCGGUAAUACGUAGGUGGCGAGCGUUAUCCGGAAUCAUUGGGCGUAAAGAGGGAGCAGGCGGCCGCAAGGGUCUGUGGUGAAAGACCGAAGCUAAACUUCGGUAAGCCAUGGAAACCGGGCGGCUAGAGUGCGGAAGAGGAUCGUGGAAUUCCAUGUGUAGCGGUGAAAUGCGUAGAUAUAUGGAGGAACACCAGUGGCGAAGGCGACGGUCUGGGCCGCAACUGACGCUCAUUCCCGAAAGCGUGGGGAGCAAAUAGGAUUAGAUACCCUAGUAGUCCACGCCGUAAACGAUGGUCACUAAGUGUCGGGGGUCAAACCCCGGUGCUGCAGUCAACGCAAUAAGUGACCCGCCUGAGUAGUACGUUCGCAAGA